RNAcentral lists this ribosomal RNA (227 nucleotides) under uncultured bacterium. Its description in RNAcentral is "partial 16S ribosomal RNA". It matches the Rfam family "Bacterial small subunit ribosomal RNA", at positions 568 to 795 of the family's 1533-position model. The record is from RNAcentral.
UGCGCAGGCGGACUUUUAAGUCAGUGGUGAAAUCCCGAGGCUCAACCUCGGAACUGCCAUUGAUACUGGAAGUCUUGAAUUUGGUUGAAGUGGGCGGAAUGUAGCAUGUAGCGGUGAAAUGCUUAGAUAUGCUACAGAACACCGAUCGCGAAGGCAGCUCACUAAGCCAAUAUUGACGCUCAGGCACGAAAGCGUGGGGAGCAAACAGGAUUAGAUACCUGGUAGUC